CUUUAAUCCUAGGACUCAGGAUUAAGAGGUAGGCGGAUCUCUGAGUUCAAGGCCACCCAGAGAUACAUGAGAUUGAAUCAGUCUAAAACAGUAACAGAUCACAUGCCUUUUUGUUUCUCUGUGGCUUUGGAGGCUGACCUGGAACUCACUCUGUAGACCAGGCCGGUCUCGAACUCACAGAGAUCCACCUGCCUCCUCCUCUUGAGUGCUAGGAUUAAAGGCAUGUGUCACCACCGCCCAGCCAGAUCACAUGCCUUUAAUCCCAGUACUAGAGGGGUAUAAAGAUAGACUCAGGGUCUUCAGUAUUCAGUAGGUGUCAUUCAUUCUCCAGCCACACUGAAGAUAGAAAGGCUCAUUAUCAAGGAGGAUAGGAAGACAUUGAAGUCUCAGGAUUCUCCAGCCACUCUGCCUGAAGCAGUUUGAAGCUUGGUGUUCAUGCGUGGAUCAGCCCUUUCAGCCUGGGGUAGUGCCAUGUGGUCAUCAAGGCUGCCUUCCAGGGAGUAAGGAGGCAUCACCCUGCCAAGCUGCAGGGGCACAUGGCAGAGAGCUGGAGCUUCUGGGAGGAAAGAAUCUGUUCAAGAGGAGGACCCCAUGUCCAGGAAACUGUGUAAGUGGACGUUUCUUUUCACCUGCCA
Molecule: long non-coding RNA, 635 nt
Filed under: Cricetulus griseus (Chinese hamster)
Lineage: Eukaryota; Metazoa; Chordata; Mammalia; Rodentia; Cricetidae
Description: lncRNA (ENSCGRG00000026546.1)
Source: RNAcentral